This 261-nucleotide ribosomal RNA is filed under the name uncultured prokaryote. RNAcentral's name for it is "partial 16S ribosomal RNA". It matches the Rfam family "Bacterial small subunit ribosomal RNA", at positions 524 to 784 of the family's 1533-position model. The record is from RNAcentral.
UACGUAGGGGGCAAGCGUUGUCCGGAAUUACUGGGCGUAAAGCUCACGCAGGCGGAAUUGUAAGUCCGUUGUAAAAUUCAGAGGCUCAACCUCUGUCUGUCGGCGGAUACUGCAAAUCUAGAGUAUGUGAGAGGGAAGUGGAAUUCCUGGUGUAGCGGUGAAAUGCGUAGAUAUCAGGAGGAACUCCGGUGGCGAAGGCGACUUCCUGGCACAAGACUGACGCUCAUGUGCGAAAGCUAGGGUAGCGAACGGGAUUAGAUA